Molecule: ribosomal RNA, 445 nt
Filed under: uncultured bacterium
Lineage: Bacteria
Description: partial 16S ribosomal RNA
Rfam family: Bacterial small subunit ribosomal RNA
Source: RNAcentral
GUGAGGAAUAUUGGUCAAUGGGCGGGAGCCUGAACCAGCCAAGUCGCGUGAAGGAAGAAGGAUCUAUGGUUCGUAAACUUCUUUUGCAGGGGAAUAAAGUGCAGGACGUGUCCUGUUUUGUAUGUACCCUGAGAAUAAGGAUCGGCUAACUCCGUGCCAGCAGCCGCGGUAAUACGGAGGAUCCGAGCGUUAUCCGGAUUUAUUGGGUUUAAAGGGUGCGUAGGUGGUUUGAUACGUCAGCGGUGAAAGUUUGCAGCUUAACUGUAAAAAUGCCGUUGAAACUGUCGGACUUGAGUGUAAAUGAGGUAGGCGGAAUGCGUGGUGUAGCGGUGAAAUGCAUAGAUAUCACGCAGAACUCCGAUUGCGAAGGCAGCUUACUAAGCUACAACUGACACUGAAGCACGAAAGCGUGGGGAUCAAACAGGAUUAGAUACCCUGGUAGUCC